UGGGGAAUAUUGCACAAUGGGCGCAAGCCUGAUGCAGCCAUGCCGCGUGUAUGAAGAAGGCCUCCGGGUUGUAAAGUACUUUCAGCGGGGAGGAAGGGAGUAAAGUUAAUACCUUUGCUCAUUGACGUUACCCGCAGAAGAAGCACCGGCUAACUCCGUGCCAGCAGCCGCGGUAAUACGGAGGGUGCAAGCGUUAAUCGGAAUUACUGGGCGUAAAGCGCACGCAGGCGGUUUGUUAAGUCAGAUGUGAAAUCCCCGGGCUCAACCUGGGAACUGCAUCUGAUACUGGCAAGCUUGAGUCUCGUAGAGGGGGGUAGAAUUCCAGGUGUAGCAGUGAAAUGCGUAGAGAUCUGGAGGAACACCAGUGGCGAAGGCGGCUCUCUGGUCUGUAACUGACGCUGAGGCUCGAAAGCGUGGGGAGCAAACAGG
Molecule: ribosomal RNA, 429 nt
Filed under: Chloroflexota bacterium
Lineage: Bacteria; Bacillati; Chloroflexota
Description: Chloroflexi bacterium partial 16S ribosomal RNA
Rfam family: Bacterial small subunit ribosomal RNA
Source: RNAcentral